This 306-nucleotide long non-coding RNA is filed under the name Fukomys damarensis (Damara mole-rat). RNAcentral's name for it is "lncRNA (ENSFDAG00000031129.1)". Lineage: Eukaryota; Metazoa; Chordata; Mammalia; Rodentia; Bathyergidae. The record is from RNAcentral.
UAACUCAUCAAAGCAGAAACUUUCUGGAAGCAAUCUGACAACAGCAUGUCUCCAAAGACCUUCAAGUGGCUCCCCUACCUUUGCUCUUUGUAGUUUCCUUACCAAGAGCUUCCUGAAAGAGAUUUCAGUUGGAUUAAAAUUCCUCCAGCCUCAACGAACUGCAAGGGGGACAUCUGAUGCUAAAAACGGGCAUCUUUUGUGUGUUUUUUUUGUUUCAUAUAUAUUUAAUAUAAUAGAACUGUGUUUCAUAUCCCACUAAUUCUAAAAAAAGCAGUAAAGAACUUUGUAGUUCAUUUGAAGUUAGCC